RNAcentral lists this ribosomal RNA (234 nucleotides) under uncultured Gemella sp. Its description in RNAcentral is "partial 16S ribosomal RNA". It matches the Rfam family "Bacterial small subunit ribosomal RNA", at positions 128 to 354 of the family's 1533-position model. Lineage: Bacteria; Bacillati; Bacillota; Bacilli; Caryophanales; Gemellaceae. The record is from RNAcentral.
GCCUCAUAGACUGGGACAACUAUUGGAAACGAUAGCUAAUACCGGAUAACAGCAUUAACUGCAUGGUUGAUGUUUAAAAGUUGGUUUUGCUAACACUAUGAGAUGGCUUUGCGGUGCAUUAGCUAGUUGGUGGGGUAAAGGCCUACCAAGGCGACGAUGCAUAGCCGACCUGAGAGGGUGAUCGGCCACACUGGGACUGAGACACGGCCCAGACUCCUACGGGAGGCAGCAGAU